Molecule: ribosomal RNA, 484 nt
Filed under: uncultured bacterium
Lineage: Bacteria
Description: partial 16S ribosomal RNA
Rfam family: Bacterial small subunit ribosomal RNA
Source: RNAcentral
AUUGAACGCGGGCGGCACGCCUAACACAUGCAAGUUGAGCGGACGAAGGAAACUUGCUCCUGCAUCCAGCGUCGGACGGCUGAGUAAUGCCUAGCAAACUGCCUGGUAGUGGCAGAUAACAUCCAGCAACGGGCGCUAAUACCACAUACGUCCUGAGGGAGAAACGGUGUGUCCUUCGGACCUCACUCUAUCACAUGAUCCUAGGUCGGAUUAGCUAGUUGGUGGGCUAAAGGCCUACCACGGCGACGAUCCGUAACUGGUCUGAGAGGAUGAUCAGUCACACUGGAACUGCGACCCGGUCCAGACUCCUACGGGACGCAACAGUGGGGAAUUUAGGAAAAUGGGCGAAAGCCUGAUCGAGCUACGCCGCGUGUGUGCAGAAGGUCUUCGGAUUGUAAAGCACUUUCAGUUGGGAGGAAGGGCUGUAAGGUAAUAACUUGCUGUAUUGACGUUACCAACAGAAUAAGCAAAGGCUAACUUCGUG